UUUGAAUUUUGUUUUCUAUUAUGUGUUUCCAGUGUUAUAUAUCUCUAUGUGAAUUACUUUCAAAUUGUUAUAAUAGUUCGAACUUUCUGCCAUUGGCAGAAAAAUGUCAUUUCCAAGAGCACAAGUAAAACGUUUCAAUGAACAGCCAGGAUGUGCACCUCCCCCUGGUCAUUAUACUGUGCCUGAUGUAAAAAAGAGUGGUUCUGGUAUCUUGUCUUUUGAAACUGGAGGACAGAGAUUCAAAACAGAGAAUAAAUCGGAGAGAGAUGCCAUUGAUGAUGUCACAGAACAACUUUCUACCGCAUUAAUCAAUCACAAUACACAUUCUUCAUCAAAAAAGAAAUUGGAUUUUGCUGUUCCUGCACCAGUUUCAACGAAAUCAAAAUCCAAUUCAAAUAAAACGAACACCUCAUCCAUCUCCAUCUAUGAAUGGUAAAGAUAAACAACGAUAAUGAAAAAGAAAUCCCGAAAGCCUGGUUCAACAAAUUAGCGAACAAAGAGAGAAAUUACAACUUAAAA
This is a non-coding RNA of Styela clava, 519 nucleotides long. The record is from RefSeq and is a predicted model, not a curated record. NCBI's taxonomy places the organism in Eukaryota, Metazoa, Chordata, Ascidiacea, Stolidobranchia, Styelidae.